This 460-nucleotide ribosomal RNA is filed under the name uncultured bacterium. RNAcentral describes it as "partial 16S ribosomal RNA". It matches the Rfam family "Bacterial small subunit ribosomal RNA", at positions 338 to 795 of the family's 1533-position model. The record is from RNAcentral.
CCUACGGGUGGCAGCAGUGAGGAAUAUUGGUCAAUGGGCGGAAGCCUGAACCAGCCAAGUCGCGUGAGGGAUUAAGGCCCUGCGGGUCGUAAACCUCUUUAGGCGGGGAGCAAUGCCGGGCACGCGUGCCCGGCGGGAGAGUACCCGCAGACUAAGCAUCGGCUAACUCCGUGCCAGCAGCCGCGGUAAUACGGAGGAUGCGAGCGUUAUCCGGAUUUAUUGGGUUUAAAGGGUGCGUAGGCGGAUUUUUAAGUCAGCGGUAAAAUGUCCGGGCUCAACCCGGGCCGGCCGUUGAAACUGGGGAUCUUGAGUGGGCGAGAAGUAUGCGGAAUGCGUGGUGUAGCGGUGAAAUGCAUAGAUAUCACGCAGAACUCCGAUUGCGAAGGCAGCAUACCGGCGCCCGACUGACGCUGAGGCACGAAAGCGUGGGGAUCGAACAGGAUUAGAUACCCGAGUAGUC